GACGUAGGGCGCGAGCGUUGUCCGGAUUUAUUGGGCGUAAAGGGUGCGUAGGUGGCGCCGUAAGUCGGGUGUGAAAUUUCGGAGCUUAACUCCGAAACUGCAUUCGAUACUGCGGUGCUUGAGGACUGGAGAGGAGACUGGAAUUCAUGGUGUAGCAGUGAAAUGCGUAGAGAUCAUGAGGAAGACCAGUGGCGAAGGCGGGUCUCUGGACAGUUCCUGACACUGAGGCACGAAGGCCAGGGGAGCAAACAGG
This 253-nucleotide ribosomal RNA is filed under the name uncultured bacterium. RNAcentral describes it as "partial 16S ribosomal RNA". It matches the Rfam family "Bacterial small subunit ribosomal RNA", at positions 524 to 776 of the family's 1533-position model. The record is from RNAcentral.